UGCAGAAUUCAGUGAAUCAUCGAAUCUUUGAACGCACCUUGCACCCUCUGGUAUUCCGGAGGGUAUGCCCGGUUGAGUGUCAUGAAUAUCUCAACUCCAAUGUUUUGUCAAGGUCUUGUCGACUCGUCCUGCUGGCCUAGCGAGGCUGCUGCGACUGUUGCGAGGCUGAAGCGUUGGAGCUUGGACUUGAGCUCUGUCGGCCUUCUCAGGUCGACUGGCUAGAAAUGCAUCAGCGAUGACGUCCCUUGGGUCCAUCUCGGCGUGAUAAGUUGAUCGUCGCAAAGGUCCUCGGGUUGGCUCGCUCCUAAUGGUCUUCGGACAGCCUCUGACGUUUACACCUCAACUCGGGUAGGACUACCCGCUGAACUUAAGCAUAUCAAUAAGCGGAGGAAAAGAAACU
This 400-nucleotide ribosomal RNA is filed under the name uncultured fungus. Its description in RNAcentral is "eukaryotic LSU rRNA". The stretch from base 1 to 82 matches the Rfam family "5.8S ribosomal RNA", at positions 73 to 154 of the family's 154-position model. Lineage: Eukaryota; Fungi. The record is from RNAcentral.